GCCGGGGUGGUGGUGGGCACCUGUAAUCCCAGCAACUCUGGAGGCUGAGGCAGGAGGAUUGCAAGUUCAAAGCCAGCCUCAGCAACUUAGCGAGGCCGUAAGCAACUUAGCAAGACCCUGUCUCAG
Molecule: small RNA, 126 nt
Filed under: Marmota monax (woodchuck)
Lineage: Eukaryota; Metazoa; Chordata; Mammalia; Rodentia; Sciuridae
Source: RNAcentral